Neolentinus lepideus HHB14362 ss-1 is the source of this 90-nucleotide non-coding RNA. NCBI's taxonomy places the organism in Eukaryota, Fungi, Basidiomycota, Agaricomycetes, Gloeophyllales, Gloeophyllaceae. The record is from the annotation of a GenBank genome assembly.
GUUCCCAUCGAUUAGUGGUUAGAUCAUGACGUUGUGGUUAUUCAUUGUAAUGAUUCCGUCAAGACGCGUGUUCGACUCACGCUGGGAACA